This 253-nucleotide ribosomal RNA is filed under the name uncultured bacterium. RNAcentral describes it as "partial 16S ribosomal RNA". It matches the Rfam family "Bacterial small subunit ribosomal RNA", at positions 524 to 776 of the family's 1533-position model. The record is from RNAcentral.
UACAGAGGGGGCAAGCGUUGUUCGGAAUUACUGGGCGUAAAGGGCGCGUAGGCGGCCGGUUAAGUCGAACGUGAAAUCCCCGGGCUCAACCCGGGAACUGCGUCCGAUACUGGCAGGCUUGAAUCCGGGAGAGGGAUGCGGAAUUCCAGGUGUAGCGGUGAAAUGCGUAGAUAUCUGGAGGAACACCGGUGGCGAAGGCGGCAUCCUGGACCGGCAUUGACGCUGAGGAGCGAAAGCGUGGGGAGCGAACAGG